Molecule: ribosomal RNA, 546 nt
Filed under: uncultured bacterium
Lineage: Bacteria
Description: partial 16S ribosomal RNA
Rfam family: Bacterial small subunit ribosomal RNA
Source: RNAcentral
CUAAGAAUAUUCCGCAAUGGACGGAAGUCUGACGGAGCGACGCCGCGUGGAUGACGAAGGCCGAAAGGUUGUAAAGUUCUUUUGCUGGGGAAGAAUAACCGCAGGAGGGAAUGCCUGUGGGAUGACAAGAACCGGCGAAUAAGCCCCGGCCAACUACGUGCCAGCAGCCGCGGUAACACGUAGGGGGUCGAGCGUUGUUCGGAAUUACUGGGCGUAAAGGGCAUGUGGGCGGCUUGGAAAGCCUGGCGUGAAAGUCUGCAGCUUAACUGCAGGGGUGCGCUGGGAACUGCUGAGCUUGAGUGACGGAGAGGGAGCUGGAAUUCCUGGUGUAGGGGUGAAAUCUGUAGAUAUCAGGAAGAACACCGAUGGCGAAGGCAAGCUCCUGCCGAUGACUGACGCUGAGGUGCGAAAGUGUGGGGAUCAAAACAGGAUUAGAUACCCUGGUAGUCCACACAGUCAACGAUGUGCACUAGGUGCUGGGGCGGUAGCUUCGGUGCCGGAGCGAACGUGGUAAGUGCACCGCCUGGGGAGUAUGCUCGCAAGGGU